This 292-nucleotide ribosomal RNA is filed under the name uncultured bacterium. RNAcentral's name for it is "partial 16S ribosomal RNA". It matches the Rfam family "Bacterial small subunit ribosomal RNA", at positions 505 to 796 of the family's 1533-position model. The record is from RNAcentral.
GUGCCAGCAGCCGCGGUAAUACGUAGGCAGCAAGCGUUGUUCGGAGUUACUGGGCGUAAAGGGUGUGUAGGCGGUUUCGUAAGUCUGGUGUGAAAUCUCCCGGCUCAACUGGGAGGGUGCGCCGGAAACUGCGAGGCUAGAGUGUGGGAUGGGAGAGUGGAAUUCCUGGUGUAGCGGUGAAAUGCGUAGAUAUCAGGAGGAACACCUGCGGUGUAGACGGCUCUCUGGACCACUACUGACGCUGAAACACGAAAGCGUGGGUAGCAAACAGGAUUAGAUACCCUCGUAGUCC